RNAcentral lists this ribosomal RNA (682 nucleotides) under uncultured Chlorophyta. RNAcentral's name for it is "bacterial SSU rRNA". It matches the Rfam family "Bacterial small subunit ribosomal RNA", at positions 99 to 795 of the family's 1533-position model. Lineage: Eukaryota; Viridiplantae; Chlorophyta. The record is from RNAcentral.
CGGACGGGUGAGUAACGCGUGAGAACCUACCUUUUGGAGAGGGAUAACCAUKGGAAACGAUGGCUAAUACCUCGUAUUGCUGAGAAGUGAAAGAUGAAUAUCGCCAAAAGAUGGGCUUGCGGCUGAUUAGCUUGUUGGUGGGGUAAUGGCUUACCAAGGCGAUGAUCAGUAGCUGGUCUGAGAGGAUGAUCAGCCACACUGGGACUGAGACACGGCCCAGACUCCUACGGGAGGCAGCAGUGAGGAAUUUUCCGCAAUGGGCGACAGCCUGACGGAGCAAUGCCGCGUAAAGGAUGAAAGCCUAUGGGUUGUAAACUUCUUUUCUCAGAGAAGAAUUCUUGACGGUAUCUGAGGAAUAAGCAUCGGCUAACUCUGUGCCAGCAGCCGCGGUAAGACAGAGGAUGCAAGCGUUAUCCGGAAUGAUUGGGCGUAAAGCGUCUGUAGGUGGCUUAAAAAGUCUUCUGUUAAAGAUCAGGGCUUAACCCUGAGCCGGCAGGAGAAACUCUUAGGCUAGAGUUUGGUAGGGGCAGAGGGAAUUCCCGGUGGAGCGGUGAAAUGCGUAGAGAUCGGGAGGAACACCGAAGGCGAAAGCACUCUGCUGGGCCAAUGAAAAGUUUUUUCAAUAACUGACACUGAGAGACGAAAGCGAGGGGAGCAAAAGGGAUUAGAUACCCCUGUAGUC